UGUGAAAGAAUCCGGCGCUUAAGCGCUCUGGUGGUGUUGUCAUAGUGAUGAAUACUCUCUUGUAUUCAUAGUAAUUAUCUUCAUCGGAGCUUUAUUCGCAUGUAACCUCGUUCUCGAUGUACACAGCCGCACACUCGUGUUUCAUUGUUUCCUUAAGAGCAGUGCUGCAUGUUCUUCGAAUAAGGCCGGUAAUAAGGUUAACCUCUUGACCGAAUGGUGGACGGAGAGGAACUCUUUCUUCGAACUAUUACUCGAAAUCUGCCGACAGGAAUUUGGACCAUCAGAGCCGAACCAUAUAGUAGCCCAAGGUCAAGUCAGCUCAUUUGAUGUCUCUUGGAAUCGUUUGAGGAUGGUGUGAUGGUAUGAACGUUUCAUGGAAAUUUAGUGUCCUUAAAUAUUUAUACGGUGUAGAGGUUAUGGCAAUAAAAACUGAAGACGCUAUUGCCGGGCCUUAUUGACAAAAAAACGUACAUAAUAUUUUGUGCUAGACACCGGCACAAUUUAGCUUUCAGUCAUGGCAAAGCACCAGUGCAGUAAAUGCAAAAUGCUGUUUCCUUCUAAAAUGCGCUUAACACGACAUGAAGUUGUCCAUAGUGAUGAAAGGCCUUUCAGAUGCGACGAAUGCAGCCGGAGCUUCAAACGAAUCGUCAGUUUAAGGAUCCACCUCAGGGUGCAUACCGGCGAGAAGCCGUAUGAGUGCGACAAUUGCGGCGCUAAGUUCCGCCAGAAAGGUGGUCUUGUCGUCCACCAGCGUCGGCAUACGGGAGAACGGCCAUUCAAGUGCGAUCAUUGUGAGCUUGCUUUCACCACUGGCGGGGCCAAGACACAUCAUCUUCGAGUUCACACAGGCGAACGACCGUAUGCGUGCGAGUGUGGAAGGCGGUUUAUAAGCAGCAGUAAUUUACAAACUCAUGCAAAAACGCACACCUUGAGUGACAAAAAAACGUUCCAAUUCCAUUGUAUGAAAUGCGAUAUGCAGUUCUCGUCGCGAGCGAAUUUGGUUGGCCACAUGAGAAAACAUACGGUUGUAAGAAACUUUGGAUGUACUUUAUGCCCAAAACGGUUUCCUACAAAACGAUCAUUGAAUAUUCACAAUAUCAGUCACACGAAGGAAAAAGCUUUCGAAUGCCUCGAGUGUGGGAAGAAAUUCGGCUAUGAACAUGUCCUCAAAUAUCAUCUUGUGGCAGUGCAUGGUUCUGAAAAAAAACAUGUUUGCGAACUGUGCAAAAAGGCGUUUAAAACGAUCGGAGAUUUGAAGAAGCACGUGAUAACACACUCAAAUACGAAACCACAUGCAUGUGGACGGUGUGAUAGAGCAUUCCGCACUCAUGCCGUAUUACGACAGCAUUUUAUGACACAUACAGGAGAAAGACCAUAUGAGUGCGCUCAGUGUCAGAAACGGUUCUCCCAGGCUGGAGCGUUGAAACGUCACAUAAUGGUACACACUGGUGAGAAACCAUACGCCUGCGAACACUGCAAGAAAGCCUUUAGCUCAAAAGCAGAUAUGCGAAAGCAUGUUCGUAUCCACACGGGCGAAAAACCAUAUAAAUGCGACCAGUGUCCAAAGGAGUUUUCUGUUAACAGUUCGUUGCAUUGUCACUACCGGAGCUACCACACAGGAGAAUGGCCAUUCGUAUGUAAACAGUGCGAUCGGAGAUUUAAUAACAGGUCACGUUUGAUGCGGCAUGUGACGGCGGUUCAUGACGGCUGAGCGGGUCGACGGCGCUCGGAACUAUGAUACAAUAAGUAUAGAUUAGAGAAGCCCCCUGUAUUCAAAAUUUGAACUAAGUGCUGGUCUAUCUAACCAAUAGCUAGUAAAAACGUUCAUCUCAAAUACAGUAUAGCGCAACAUGUGAAGAGAAUGCAUAAAAAUUACUUCCCACAUAAGUGUGAGCUCGGAAGUUUGGUAAAGGAAUGUUACCGUGGCGGAGUUGCAUCGUCGUUUGGAUAAACGUUACGUCUUAGUUAUUAAGACUUCAGGCCAAACCUGAAGAUUCUGCUCAAUGCCCGAGGAAAAUCAUAUCAAAAUUAGGGUGCCAGACUUCGCAAAAAGUGACCAACGUCACCUUUCAACGAUUGAAUCUUAUAUUGAACAAAGAGGUUGCCCUGUAGGGUGCAGACGAGUUAAGGUUCAUGGGCUGUCGCAGCCUUAUCGUACAUGCACAUGUAAGCUAAAAUCGCAACAGUUGAUCAUGUCAGUACCUCAUGGCGUCCUAGUGAGCGAUUACCAAGAUCGAUAAUAAUGUCACAGAAUCAUGGUAGAUGUCGGUCGCGGGAUCUGUUGACUAUAAACGGAUGCGAGAUACUGGUUGCAAUUGGUCCUGGAAGUCAUUGAUUGUGUCUAAUAUGGCGAUUGCCCAAUGUCUCAGUUGAAAUAAAAUUAUUUUAGGUUA
Long non-coding RNA from Lineus longissimus, 2393 nucleotides. RefSeq lists it as uncharacterized. The record is from RefSeq and is a predicted model, not a curated record. The transcript has 2 exons. NCBI's taxonomy places the organism in Eukaryota, Metazoa, Nemertea, Pilidiophora, Heteronemertea, Lineidae.